RNAcentral lists this ribosomal RNA (680 nucleotides) under Salmonella enterica subsp. enterica serovar Goldcoast. Its description in RNAcentral is "bacterial SSU rRNA". It matches the Rfam family "Bacterial small subunit ribosomal RNA", at positions 865 to 1533 of the family's 1533-position model. The record is from RNAcentral. Lineage: Bacteria; Pseudomonadati; Pseudomonadota; Gammaproteobacteria; Enterobacterales; Enterobacteriaceae.
UAGACCGCCUGGGGAGUACGGCCGCAAGGUUAAAACUCAAAUGAAUUGACGGGGGCCCGCACAAGCGGUGGAGCAUGUGGUUUAAUUCGAUGCAACGCGAAGAACCUUACCUGGUCUUGACAUCCACGGAAGUUUCCAGAGAUGGAAUGGUGCCUUCGGGAACCGUGAGACAGGUGCUGCAUGGCUGUCGUCAGCUCGUGUUGUGAAAUGUUGGGUUAAGUCCCGCAACGAGCGCAACCCUUAUCCUUUGUUGCCAGCGGUUAGGCCGGGAACUCAAAGGAGACUGCCAGUGAUAAACUGGAGGAAGGUGGGGAUGACGUCAAGUCAUCAUGGCCCUUACGACCAGGGCUACACACGUGCUACAAUGGCGCAUACAAAGAGAAGCGACCUCGCGAGAGCAAGCGGACCUCAUAAAGUGCGUCGUAGUCCGGAUUGGAGUCUGCAACUCGACUCCAUGAAGUCGGAAUCGCUAGUAAUCGUGGAUCAGAAUGCCACGGUGAAUACGUUCCCGGGCCUUGUACACACCGCCCGUCACACCAUGGGAGUGGGUUGCAAAAGAAGUAGGUAGCUUAACCUUCGGGAGGGCGCUUACCACUUUGUGAUUCAUGACUGGGGUGAAGUCGUAACAAGGUAACCGUAGGGGAACCUGCGGUUGGAUCACCUCCUUACCUUAAAGAAGC